Molecule: ribosomal RNA, 468 nt
Filed under: uncultured bacterium
Lineage: Bacteria
Description: partial 16S ribosomal RNA
Rfam family: Bacterial small subunit ribosomal RNA
Source: RNAcentral
GACGAACGCUGGCGGCGUGCUUAACACAUGCAAGUCGAACGGAAAGGCCCUGCUUUUGUGGGGUGCUCGAGUGGCGAACGGGUGAGUAACACGUGAGUAACCUGCCCUUGACUUUGGGAUAACUUCAGGAAACUGGGGCUAAUACCGGAUAGGAGCUCCUGCUGCAUGGUGGGGGUUGGAAAGUUUCGGCGGUUGGGGAUGGACUCGCGGCUUAUCAGCUUGUUGGUGGGGUAGUGGCUUACCAAGGCUUUGACGGGUAGCCGGCCUGAGAGGGUGACCGGGCACCUUGGUACUGAGAGAGGGCCCAGACUCCUACGGGAGGCAGCAGUGGGAAAUAUUGCACAAUGGGCGGGAGCCUGAUGCAGCAACGCCGCGUGCGGGAUGACGGCCUUCGGGUUGUAAACCGCUUUCGCCUGUGACGAAGCGUGAGUGACGGUAAUGGGUAAAGAAGCACCGGCUAACUACGUG